Molecule: long non-coding RNA, 1165 nt
Filed under: Piliocolobus tephrosceles (Ugandan red Colobus)
Lineage: Eukaryota; Metazoa; Chordata; Mammalia; Primates; Cercopithecidae
Description: lncRNA (ENSPTEG00000018208.1)
Source: RNAcentral
UAGAAAAAUAGAUAAAAAAUCGACAUAAAAUAGACAAAAGUAAGUAAAAAUGACCAUUUACUAAUAUUAUAUCUAAAUGUAUAACAAUUAUGAAUUCUUAUUUAUAUAAUCCACCUUAUUACAAACCUAAAUUUUUUGGCAAUCAUGUAGAAAAAAAAAAAAACGAAAAUCAGAUAAAUAUAUGUUCACAUAUUCAAGCCCAAUGUCCAUUACAAUUAUUCAAGUUUCUAUCAGUGAACAAACAUAUUAAUUAUAACAGUAAUACAAACAGUAACAAUUUUUACCAAUUAAAAAUCCAUCAAAACAAUAUUGUUCCUAAUCCAUCAAAAAAUAUUAAAAUAAGAAAUGACUUAAAAAGUGAUUAUAAAAAAACAUUAAAUAAUACGAAUAAUUACUUUUGUAAUGCAAAUAAUAAUUUGGAUAAUAUAAAUAAAUGUUUUAAUAAAAAUAACAAUAAUUCGAAAUAUAUCAAUGUAAACUAUUAUCCCCAAACGAAUUAUAAUCUUCUGAAUACCUCUAUGUUUAAUAAUAAAAAUAAUAUAUAUACAAAUAAAAAUUUGGUACCUACGGUAAAAGAUUCCCUAAGUCUUUUAAAUUCAAAACAACUUAGAAAACAAAAUAGUAAUUUAUAUAAAAUUUUUAUAGAAAAAUGUAAAAGAGUUAUUAUAUUUGAUUUAGACGAUACCCUUAUCCCUACUUGUUGGUUAAGGUCAAUAAUAUUAUAUAAAAAUAAUUAUAACUAUGAAGAAACAAUAAUAGAAUUAAAAAAAGAAAUUAAAUUAAAUAAAGAGUAUGAUAUAGAAUUAACAGCUUGUUCAGUAAUUAAAUUGGCCAUGUCUUUAUCACAUACCGUUUGUAUUGUUACUAAUGCAAGAAGUGAUAGAUGGGUAAAUACCGUAAGGUGCUUAUUUCCUCAACUUUCGAAACUGCUUGACGAUAUGCAUAUUCCUAUUAUAAGAACAGAUCAAUUCAAUGAACCUCCCUCUUCUAAUGUUAUGCAGUACUUUCGAUUUUGGAUGAAUGCUAAGGUAAUUUAUUUAACAUUAUUGGAAAUAAAAAAUAGAAAUAAAAAAAAAAAAUAAAAAGGAAAAAAAAAAAAAAACGUGUGUACUUAAUUAUAUAUACAAAUAUGACCACAUUGUAUAUAUAAUGUACACAUAUUUAU